CAAUAGCGUAUAUUAAAGUUGUUGCAGUUAAAAAGCUCGUAGUUGGAUUUGUGGUGUACUUCGGCGGCCCGUCACUAUGUGAUGGAGCUUGCUGAAGUCGCCAUCCUUGGGUGGAUCCUGUGUGGCAUUAAGUUGUCGUGCAGGGGAUGCCCAUCGUUUACUGUGAAAAAAUUAGAGUGUUCAAAGCAGACUUAUGCCGUUGAAUAUAUUAGCAUGGAAUAAUAAGAUAGGACCUUGGUACUAUUUUGUUGGUUUGCGCACCAAGGUAAUGAUUAAUAGGGACAGUUGGGGGUAUUCGUAUUUCAUUGUCAGAGGUGAAAUUCUUGGAUUUUUGAAAGACGAACUACUGCGAAAGCAUUUACCAAGGAUGUUUUCAUUAA
RNAcentral lists this ribosomal RNA (380 nucleotides) under uncultured eukaryote. RNAcentral's name for it is "partial 18S ribosomal RNA". It matches the Rfam family "Eukaryotic small subunit ribosomal RNA", at positions 592 to 976 of the family's 1831-position model. The record is from RNAcentral.